RNAcentral lists this ribosomal RNA (616 nucleotides) under Cutaneotrichosporon sp. RNAcentral's name for it is "partial large subunit ribosomal RNA". It matches the Rfam family "Eukaryotic large subunit ribosomal RNA", at positions 50 to 656 of the family's 3401-position model. Lineage: Eukaryota; Fungi; Basidiomycota; Tremellomycetes; Trichosporonales; Trichosporonaceae. The record is from RNAcentral.
GCGGAGGAAAAGAAACUAACAAGGAUUCCCUUAGUAACGGCGAGUGAACCGGGAAAAGCUCAAAUUUGAAAUCUGGCUGUCUUCGAUAGUCCGAGUUGUAAUCUAUAGACGUGUUUUCCGUGCUGGACCGUAUCUAAGUCCCUUGGAACAGGGUAUCAAAGAGGGUGACAAUCCCGUGCUUGAUACGACCACCAGUGCUCUGUGAUACACGCUCUACGAGUCGAGUUGUUUGGGAAUGCAGCUCAAAAUGGGUGGUAAAUUCCAUCUAAAGCUAAAUAUUGGCGAGAGACCGAUAGCGAACAAGUACCGUGAGGGAAAGAUGAAAAGCACUUUGGAAAGAGAGUUAAACAGUACGUGAAAUUGUUGAAAGGGAAACGAUUGAAGUCAGUCGUGUUCUUCAGAUUCAGCUGGUUCUUCCAGUCUACUUCUGUUGAACGGGUCAACAUCAGUUUUGUCCGGUGGAUAAAGGUAGUAGGAAUGUGACUUCUCCGGAAGUGUUAUAGCCUAUUAUUGCAUACACUGGGUGAGACUGAGGACUGCAGCUCGCCUUUUGGCCGGCCCUCGGGCACGUUCGAGCUUAGGAUGUUGACAUAAUGGCUUUAAACGACCCGUCUUG